This 465-nucleotide ribosomal RNA is filed under the name Vreelandella stevensii. Its description in RNAcentral is "partial 16S ribosomal RNA". It matches the Rfam family "Bacterial small subunit ribosomal RNA", at positions 338 to 795 of the family's 1533-position model. The record is from RNAcentral. Lineage: Bacteria; Pseudomonadati; Pseudomonadota; Gammaproteobacteria; Oceanospirillales; Halomonadaceae.
CCUACGGGGGGCUGCAGUGGGGAAUAUUGGACAAUGGGGGCAACCCUGAUCCAGCCAUGCCGCGUGUGUGAAGAAGGCCCUCGGGUUGUAAAGCACUUUCAGUGAGGAAGAACGCCUGGUGGUUAAUACCCAUCAGGAAAGACAUCACUCACAGAAGAAGCACCGACUAACUCCGUGCCAGCAGCCGCGGUAAUACGGAGGGUGCGAGCGUUAAUCGGAAUUACUGGGCGUAAAGCGCGCGUAGGUGGCUUGAUAAGCCGGUUGUGAAAGCCCCGGGCUCAACCUGGGAACGGCAUCCGGAACUGUCAAGCUAGAGUGCAGGAGAGGAAGGUAGAAUUCCCGGUGUAGCGGUGAAAUGCGUAGAGAUCGGGAGGAAUACCAGUGGCGAAGGCGGCCUUCUGGACUGACACUGACACUGAGGUGCGAAAGCGUGGGUAGCAAACAGGAUUAGAUACCCCAGUAGUC